This 879-nucleotide ribosomal RNA is filed under the name Virgibacillus sp. RNAcentral's name for it is "bacterial SSU rRNA". It matches the Rfam family "Bacterial small subunit ribosomal RNA", at positions 40 to 905 of the family's 1533-position model. Lineage: Bacteria; Bacillati; Bacillota; Bacilli; Caryophanales; Bacillaceae. The record is from RNAcentral.
UCGAGCGCGGGAAGCAGGCAGAUCCUCUUCGGAGGUGACGCUUGUGGAACGAGCGGCGGACGGGUGAGUAACACGUGGGCAACCUGCCUGUAAGAUUGGGAUAACCCCGGGAAACCGGGGCUAAUACCGGAUAAUACUUUUCGUUGCAUAACGAGAAGUUGAAAGGCGGCUUUUAGCUGUCACUUACAGAUGGGCCCGCGGCGCAUUAGCUAGUUGGUAAGGUAACGGCUUACCAAGGCGACGAUGCGUAGCCGACCUGAGAGGGUGAUCGGCCACACUGGGACUGAGACACGGCCCAGACUCCUACGGGAGGCAGCAGUAGGGAAUCUUCCGCAAUGGACGAAAGUCUGACGGAGCAACGCCGCGUGAGUGAUGAAGGUUUUCGGAUCGUAAAACUCUGUUGUCAGGGAAGAACAAGUGCCGUUCAAAUAGGGCGGCACCUUGACGGUACCUGACCAGAAAGCCCCGGCUAACUACGUGCCAGCAGCCGCGGUAAUACGUAGGGGGCAAGCGUUGUCCGGAAUUAUUGGGCGUAAAGCGCGCGCAGGCGGUCCUUUAAGUCUGAUGUGAAAGCCCACGGCUUAACCGUGGAGGGCCAUUGGAAACUGGAGGACUUGAGUACAGAAGAGGAGAGUGGAAUUCCACGUGUAGCGGUGAAAUGCGUAGAGAUGUGGAGGAACACCAGUGGCGAAGGCGACUCUCUGGUCUGUAACUGACGCUGAGGUGCGAAAGCGUGGGGAGCGAACAGGAUUAGAUACCCUGGUAGUCCACGCCGUAAACGAUGAGUGCUAGGUGUUAGGGGGUUUCCGCCCCUUAGUGCUGAAGUUAACGCAUUAAGCACUCCGCCUGGGGAGUACGGCCGCAAGGCUGAAACUCAAA